Molecule: ribosomal RNA, 468 nt
Filed under: uncultured bacterium
Lineage: Bacteria
Description: partial 16S ribosomal RNA
Rfam family: Bacterial small subunit ribosomal RNA
Source: RNAcentral
GACGAACGCUGGCGGCGUGCUUAACACAUGCAAGUCGAACGGAAAGGCCCUGCUUUUGUGGGGUGCUCGAGUGGCGAACGGGUGAGUAACACGUGAGUAACCUGCCCUUGACUUUGGGAUAACUUCAGGAAACUGGGGCUAAUACCGGAUAGGAGCUCCUGCUGCAUGGUGGGGGCUGGAAAGUUUCGGCGGUUGGGGAUGGACUCGCGGCUUAUCAGCUUGUUGGUGGGGUAGUGGCUUACCAAGGCUUUGACGGGUAGCCGGCCUGAGAGGGUGACCGGCCACAUUGGGACUGAGGUAGGGCCCAGACUCCUACGGGAGGCAGCAGUGGGGAAUAUUGCACAGUGGGCGGAAGCCUGAUGCAGCAACGCCGCGUGCGGGAUGACGGCCUUCGGGUUGUAAACCGCUUUCGCCUGUGACGAAGCGUGAGUGACGGUAAUGGGUAAAGAAGCACCGGCUAACUACGUG